GUGUUCCCUGCCCUCACGGGUAGAAACGCCCACCCUUGUGUAAUAUAUCAUGUUGCUUUGGCAGGCCGCCCUCGGGCACCGGCUCCGGCCGGGUCGCGCCUGCCAGAGGACCCCAAACCCUGAAUGUUAGUGUCGUCUGAGUACUAUAUAAUAGUUAAAACUUUCAACAACGGAUCUCUUGGUUCU
Molecule: unclassified non-coding RNA, 186 nt
Filed under: rhizosphere metagenome
Description: partial ribosomal RNA internal transcribed spacer region
Source: RNAcentral